AUACAGAGGGUGCAAGCGUUAAUCGGAUUUACUGGGCGUAAAGCGCGCGUAGGUGGCUAAUUAAGUCAAAUGUGAAAUCCCCGAGCUUAACUUGGGAAUUGCAUUCGAUACUGGUUAGCUAGAGUAUGGGGGAGGAUGGUAGAAUUCCAGGUGUAGCGGUGAAAUGCGUAGAGAUCUGGAGGAAUACCGAUGGCGAAGGCAGCCAUCUGGCCUAAUACGGACACUGAGGGGCGAAAGCAUGGGGAGCAAACAGGAUUAGAUCCCCUGGUAGUCCAUGCCGUAAACGAUGUCUUCUAGCCGUUGGGGCCCUUGAGGCUUUAGUGGCGCAGCUAACGCGAUAAGUAGACCGCCUGGGGAGUACGGUCGCAAGACUAAAACUCAAAUGAAUUGACGGGG
Molecule: ribosomal RNA, 396 nt
Filed under: uncultured bacterium
Lineage: Bacteria
Description: partial 16S ribosomal RNA
Rfam family: Bacterial small subunit ribosomal RNA
Source: RNAcentral